RNAcentral lists this ribosomal RNA (220 nucleotides) under uncultured crenarchaeote. RNAcentral's name for it is "partial 16S ribosomal RNA". It matches the Rfam family "Archaeal small subunit ribosomal RNA", at positions 345 to 566 of the family's 1478-position model. Lineage: Archaea; Thermoproteati; Thermoproteota. The record is from RNAcentral.
AACCUCUGCAAUAGGCGAAAGCUUGACAGGGUUACUCUGAGUGAUGUCCGCUAAGGGCAUCUUUUGGCACUUCUAAAAAUAGUGUAGAAUAAGGGGUGGGCAAGUCUGGUGUCAGCCGCCGCGGUAAUACCAGCACCCCGAGUGGUCGGGACGAUUAUUGGGCCUAAAGCAUCCGUAGCCGGUUCUGCAAGUCUUCCGUUAAAUCCACCUGCUCAACAGA